GACGAACGCUGGCGGCGUGCCUAACACAUGCAAGUCGAACGGGGUAAAGAGCUUCGGUUUUUUACUUAGUGGCGAACGGGUGAGUAACGCGUGAGAAACCUGCCUUUCAGUGGGGGACAACAGUUGGAAACGACUGCUAAUACCGCAUAAUGUUAUUUGGGGGCAUCCCUGAAUAACCAAAGAUUUAUUGCUGAAAGAUGGUCUCGCGUCUGAUUAGCUAGAUGGCGGGGUAACGGCCCACCAUGGCGACGAUCAGUAGCCGGUCUGAGAGGAUGAACGGCCACAUUGGGACUGAGAUACGGCCCAGACUCCUACGGGAGGCAGCAGUGGGGAAUAUUGCACAAUGGGGGAAACCCUGAUGCAGCAACGCCGCGUGAGUGAUGACGGUCUUCGGAUUGUAAAGCUCUGUCUUUAGGGACGAUAAUGACGGUACCUAAGGAGGAAGCCACGGCUAACUACGUG
RNAcentral lists this ribosomal RNA (462 nucleotides) under uncultured bacterium. Its description in RNAcentral is "bacterial SSU rRNA". It matches the Rfam family "Bacterial small subunit ribosomal RNA", at positions 28 to 507 of the family's 1533-position model. The record is from RNAcentral.